GGAGGAAAGCAGGGGAUCGUAAGACCUUGCGUUAAUGGAGCGGCCGAUAUCUGAUUAGCUAGUUGGUGAGGUAAAGGCUCACCAAGGCGACGAUCAGUAGCUGGUUUGAGAGAACGACCAGCCACACUGGAACUGAGACACGGUCCAGACUCCUACGGGAGGCAGCAGUGGGGAAUUUUGGACAAUGGGGGCAACCCUGAUCCAGCCAUUCCGCGUGAGUGAAGAAGGCCUUCGGGUUGUAAGGCUCUUUCGCAAGGGAAGAAAACUUAUGAUCGAAUAAAUCAUGAGGUUGACGGUACCUUGAUAAGAAGCACCGGCUAACUACGUGCCAGCAGCCGCGGUAAUACGUAGGGUGCGAGCGUUAAUCGGAAUUACUGGGCGUAAAGCGUGCGCAGGCGGUUUUGUAAGUCGGAUGUGAAAUCCCCGGGCUCAACCUGGGAACUGCGUUUGAAACUACAAGGCUAG
This 465-nucleotide ribosomal RNA is filed under the name uncultured ammonia-oxidizing beta proteobacterium. RNAcentral describes it as "bacterial SSU rRNA". It matches the Rfam family "Bacterial small subunit ribosomal RNA", at positions 198 to 644 of the family's 1533-position model. Lineage: Bacteria; Pseudomonadati; Pseudomonadota; Betaproteobacteria. The record is from RNAcentral.